UCAUCAUCUUGAAAAAGAAAAUGGUCAUUACUGGAAGAACCAUCUUACAGUUACAGUCACCUCCUGGUCAAUUCCCAACAUUCAAAAGGUGCUGGGAUUACAGGCGUGAGCCACUGCGCCCAGCUACAACUGACUUUUUUGAUCCCUGGGAGAUGAGUCAACACCAAGGGACGACCAGUCCUAAGCCCUGGACAUGGACCUGGGGGUGAGGACAGAAGGGGAUCAGGACCAGCCCUCUCAUCCUGCACACUGAGGCAUGGGUGAUCCCAGGAAGCCACUCACCAGGCACCAGGGUGGCUUCCUGGAGGAGAGGAUGCUGAAGCCGACCUCAAGAAGUGUCUGUGUUAGGUUUAAGGACUCACAAGACUUCUCUGGCUGGACUAAAGAGUCGGGGUCCCACCAUGUUGCCUCCGCUGGUCUCCAAUUCCUG
Molecule: long non-coding RNA, 430 nt
Filed under: Homo sapiens (human)
Lineage: Eukaryota; Metazoa; Chordata; Mammalia; Primates; Hominidae
Description: HSALNT0341557
Source: RNAcentral